RNAcentral lists this ribosomal RNA (816 nucleotides) under Mytilinidion thujarum. RNAcentral's name for it is "eukaryotic LSU rRNA". It matches the Rfam family "Eukaryotic large subunit ribosomal RNA", at positions 77 to 905 of the family's 3401-position model. Lineage: Eukaryota; Fungi; Ascomycota; Dothideomycetes; Mytilinidiales; Mytilinidiaceae. The record is from RNAcentral.
GCCUUAGUAACGGCGAGUGAAGCGGCAACAGCUCAAAUUUGAAAUCUAGUGCCUUUGGGUGCUCGAGUUGUAAUUUGUAGAGGAUGUUUCGGUAUUUGCACUAAUUUAAGUCCUUUGGAACAGGGCAUCAUAGAGGGUGAGGGUCCCGUAUGUAAUUAGUUGUAUUUGCCAUGUGAAGCUCCUUCGACGAGUCGAGUUGUUUGGGAAUGCAGCUCUAAUUGGGAGGUAAAUUUCUUCUAAAGCUAAAUAUUGGCCAGAGACCGAUAGCGCACAAGUAGAGUGAUCGAAAGAUGAAAAGCACUUUGGAAAGAGAGUCAAAUAGUACGUGAAAUUGUUGAAAGGGAAGCGCUUACAGCUAGACCUGCUUGUAGUCAUUUAUCUAAACCUUUUGGUUUAGUGUAUUUUUCUAUAAGUCAGGCCAGUAUCAGUUUAGGCGGUUGGAUAAAGAAGUCAGGAAUGUAGCUCCUCUUGGGGAGUGUUAUAGCCUGUUUUGAAAUGCAGCCAGCCUAGAUUGAGGUCCGCGCUUCGGCUAGGAUACUGGCGUAAUGGCUGUAAGCGGCCCGUCUUGAAACACGGACCAAGGAGUCUAACAUCUAUGCGAGUGUUUGGGUGUUAAACCUAUGCGCGUAAUAAAAGUGAACGGAGGCGGGAAUCUUUUUUUAGGUGCACCGUCGACCGAUCCUGAUGUUUUCGGAUGGAUUUGAGUAAGAGCAUAGCUGUUAGGACCCGAAAGAUGGUGAACUAUGCUUGAAUAGGGUGAAGCCAGAGGAAACUCUGGUGGAGGCUCGCAGCGGUUCUGACGUGCAAAUCGAUCGU